GGGUGUAUAGCUCAGUUGGUAGAGUGAUGGUCUCCAAAACCAUAUGUCAUCGGUUCGAUUCCGAUUGCGCCUG
This 73-nucleotide transfer RNA is filed under the name Mediterraneibacter gnavus. RNAcentral describes it as "tRNA-Trp". It matches the Rfam family "tRNA". Rfam says of the family: Transfer RNA (tRNA) molecules are approximately 80 nucleotides in length. Their secondary structure includes four short double-helical elements and three loops (D, anti-codon, and T loops). Lineage: Bacteria; Bacillati; Bacillota; Clostridia; Lachnospirales; Lachnospiraceae. The record is from RNAcentral.